AAAAUCUGUAAAUUCUGUAAUCUCAGAAAGAAAGAUGUGCACACAUAAUGUAUGUAUUUGCUUUAACCUAACAAGGUGGUGGCUUCGUCACCAGUGGAAGUCAUUAAAUCAGAAACAGGUUGCUUACUUAAUGAUAUUUCCUAGCUUAGCCAGAAAUAAUAGACUUGGCAGAGGACUUGACGAAACCCUGUUGCCUGUUUAAUGGAGGAAAUGAAAUCAAAUAAUUGUCACAGUCCUUUCCUAUCUUGGAGACCUAUGGAAAGAAAAGCUGGGAAAUAACCAAUGUAAGAGAUUUAGGCAAGAAAAUAUAAAGCAAAUGAAUGAUAGUGAGUGUGAAACAAGUCUUUUAGGUGACCUUGGGCUCAGGGUGUAUUUAAACACACAGACUGGAGGAAGUCAAAUCACGAACAGGAUUAAUGCAGGCUAAGGUUGUGAAAAGGACACCACUCAUCACCAAACGUCUUGGUAGUGCACCUGUAAGACUUUAUUUUUGCUGGUGACCCAAAGGAAGAUUCCCAGUCCUUGAGGGGGAGGACACCAGCCCUGCCACCAGCAGGCCUCAGCAGCUGCCACAGGCCUCACGCCACAGUCUUGUCACAAAAUUAGCGUCAAAAUAAGCUUCACCCUGCGUUCCCCAGAAAUCCCAUAGGGAGGAAGUCUCCUGUGAGGUCUUCUCCGUGUAGUUCACCAUGGUGACUCCAGCCCCAGCCUCGCCCUUGUGCUACCUGCCUGGGGCUCCGCGGGCAGGGCACCGGCCUUCCCGGCCCUUCCCAUCAGCAGGAGCAGGCCAGCAAGUGCUGCUUCGUGCCAGUUGCAGUGCUUCCAAACCUCUGAAGUUUUGAAAAGCUGGGUCUUGGUCCUACAGCCAUUCAAGAAGUUGUGUACCAGGUCAGAACAAGAGUCCAUCUAACACAGGAUUUACCUCCAAGAAUGACAGUAAGAUACACAGAACCAAGACCAACAAAGGGAAAAAGAGCAGUUACAUUAGUGAAAGUAUUUUCCAAAGGUGCAUUGCUUUAGUUUUGUUGUCUCUUAUAGCUUUGCUAUGAACCAAAUGUUCCUCUGGCGACCCUGAGGUUUUCACCCCUCGCUUCUGGGCGGAGAGCAAGGAAAUGCACCAUCAUGGUUUUGCUCUUGGAGUGGAAGAGACUGCCAAGGAUGAGAAGACGCAGAAGAGGAAGCAUCAUCCGAGGGAACGCUCCAAGAGUAUGCGGCCAGCUUCAAGGGAGAACAAAGCUGCAUUAACACUUUGGUUUGUUGCUGACUUUUAGGCUUGGAAAAUUGCCCAUUUGGCUGCUGAGGCAGCAGCCUGGGUUGUUUUGAAACUUGGCUGUGAAUAGAAUGCAAAGGGAAUUUUCCCCCUCCAGGUUCAUGCAUCACUAACCAUGCCAGGCGUGCUGCUCCGCGCCGUGCGCCCUGAAUGAAUAAACCGCCUCUCAGAAAGAACCGACGUGGCUAAUAUCUCCGCGUAAUUUGAACUGAGCCUUUUUGAAUUUAGCUCAUUUGGGGAAGGGAAAAAAACACUGAUGUUGCAAACGCUUAUGCAUCUGAUUAACUUCACCGCUUAGUUUAAUUUGCAGGAUCAGGGCCUUAGCUAUCAGGAGGCUUCGUGGCAUUACAGCCCUUCUAUACAUCUUCAUUAGAGCAUCUUUCUUACAAAUUUGCUUUCAUCUGUAUUUUUCCAGCCUCAGUCAUAAACUGGCCUGUAUCUGCCAGCAGCAGGGCCUGCCUAUGUCAGCUCCUCAGCGCCGGAGCUAAUCCCCUGUCCCCUUUGACAGGAAUGGGGGCAGCGCUGUGUCCUAAGGAUCGAUACACAGAAGUUGCUGUGUUGCUGCUCAUUUGCCUAAAAAAGUGAGGAGGCUAUGACUUUUAGUUGGCCUAGU
Long non-coding RNA from Cygnus olor (mute swan), 1883 nucleotides. RefSeq lists it as uncharacterized. The record is from RefSeq and is a predicted model, not a curated record. Lineage: Eukaryota; Metazoa; Chordata; Aves; Anseriformes; Anatidae. The transcript has 3 exons.